This 6654-nucleotide long non-coding RNA is filed under the name Prunus persica (peach). RNAcentral's name for it is "long non-coding RNA (PPER_LNC007207)". Lineage: Eukaryota; Viridiplantae; Streptophyta; Magnoliopsida; Rosales; Rosaceae. The record is from RNAcentral.
AGUGCCAUGGGAUGAAAGAGCUGGAGAAGGAGCUGCCAUUUCCAUGAAGAACUGGGCUUCAAGCUUUGCUAAGUUGGAGAAGAAGAUUGCACAAAGGAGGUAUUGCUCAUCUUCCUAAAUAGAUCUAGGUUUUGCUUGAGCUUGCUUGUGUUCCUUUGUAAGAAUCUUUUUCUACUUAGUGGAUUGCCUGGUCGGUUGAUGACCCCCAGUUUUUCCCAAUGGUGGGUUUCUGGGUGAACAAUUUCUGAUUGCAUCUUUGUAAUUUUUCUGGGUUUCUGUUCUUGGUGGUUGACUAGUCAUCGUAUGAAUUUAUGGGUUUGUGUUCUUGGUGGUUGACUAGUCAUCGUAUGAAUUGUGGUUGACUAGUCAUUGUAUAAAUUCUGGGUUUGUGUCCUUAUAGUUGACUAGUCAUUAUUAUCUGCUGUUUGGUGUUUACUUGAUUAUGAUUGUCUUCACACACUUUCACCAUAGUUGUUGCUAGCACAGGGGAUGCCUAGAUUGAUGGGUCCUUCUGAGUGCCUAGGUUGUCACUAGUAAUUCUCUAGGCCUGCAGGUACAUCUUGGUAUGCUCUGUGUAUGUUAUUGUUUGGUAUAAUUCAUAUCUAACAGUUGACUAGUCAUAAGAGUAUUUGGUCAAGGUCUAGAGCAUAUGAAGGUUGUUGCGUUCUUGAUUGAAUAUCUUUUAAAUUUACCCCUCGUCACCUAAGUACCAAUUUCAAUUGGUAUCAGAGCACCAGCUCUUAACAUAAAUAGAGAGAUCCUUUGGGUGCUAGUUGGUAUUAGGUGUGCAAACAUAAAAAUGGAUCAAAUUGCUCCUUGCAUUCAUGAUGAACUUGCCUUGUUUGUUAAGAAUUAUAGAAGGGUUGUCAAAGAUAAAACCAAAGUCACUAGGAAUUGUCAGAAUCUUCCUAGUUCGUCUACAUGUGUGUCUCAAGACAAUGUUUUUAAGGAGAUGAAUGUUUUGGACUCUUAUGGCUUUAGGGAGGACAAAAGUUUGAAAGGUCUUGUAAAGUGCUAUCUAUGUGGUGGUACUGGUCACAUUGAUAUGGAAUGUGCAAAUAACCACAAGACAAAGUUUAAUGGGAGAGAAGAGUCAAUUAUUGCACAAUGGAGUGAUAAUGGUAGUGAUGAUUCCAAUAACUAUAUCACUUCAUCUUAUGAAGAGGCAAUUAAUUUUGCCCUUGUUGGUUCUGUUCAUAACUCUAGCCUUGCUAGAGUUCCUGUAGUUAAGAAAGAAUCUAUGUCUAGAGAUGAUAUGCAAGAUGACCAGUCAUACAAGGAACAUGAUGACCAGUCAUACAGGGAACUAUGUGAAAAGUAUGAUAUGCUUUUCAAUGAAACCUGUAAUUUCAAAGAACAUAAUCUCAUGAUGGAAGAAAAGGUCAAGGAACUUGAUGAACUGAAUGAAACUCUCAAAAUGGCCAAAAAGAAGUUGAGUGAUAGCUUGUAUGAGAAUGAAGUUGACAUGUAUGAAUUGUAUCAUAAAGUUAGCAUUUUUGAAAAAGAAAAUUCUGAUUUGAUUAAGAAGUUGAAUGUACUUGAAAAUGACAAAUCCUUGUUUCUUCAUAGACUGAUUUUAUUUGAGUUUGAAAAGUCAUUAGUUGAGCAUGAAAAUGUGGUCGUGCAUGAUACGUUUGUGGUUGAAAAUUCUGAUUUGCAAUGCAUGUUAUUUGAGAAAGACAUUGAGGUUCAAAACUUGUUUGAGAUGAUAAAAUCACUUGAAAACAACAUGGUUAAACAAUCUGAAUCUUUUGAUGCUUUAUGAUUUGAAAAUAUAAGAUUGGAACAUGAACUUAAGUUGGAAAAAGAAAAGAUUCAAGGUUUAACCAUUGGUGCUGGAAAGAUUGAUAAAAUGCUCAAUUUUGAAAAAUUGUUCGGUGAUAAAAGAGGUUUAGGAUAUAUAAAUGAGUCUUCUACACCUUCAUCAUUUGAGACAAUCUUUGUCAAAGAUGUGUCAACUCAAGAAGCUCCAAAAUUUGUUCAUGGUCUCAACUUGGGUUUUGAUUCCAUGAAUAUUGUUUCUAAGGGAAAGCCGUCUCUUCCACAAUCCAAAUUUGUGCCUACCUGCCACCAUUGUGGUGUGAAAGGACACAUUCGACCUAGGUGUCAUAUCCUUAGGAUUGAGUCUCAAGUUUCCAAAGAAAGUGAGUUUAAGACUCAUGUGUCAUCUUUUAAGGGGUAUGCAACUGUAAAGUCUGUGGUUUGUACAAGAGAUAAACAUUCUUCACUUGCAAAAUUUGGUUUUCCUAAGGUUAUCUCUUCGCCUCAUAAAGUCUCAAAAGUGAAGCAAGUUUGGAUCAAGAAGGAAGACCAUGUUCUUCCUCAUGUUGGUGUCUAGUUUCUUUAUUUUAUGUAUCUAGACCAUUCUCUUAUUUGUGUGUGCUUCAUGGAGUCUAGAUAUAUUGUCAUGUAUUUGCACCUUGUUCUUUUGUUUUAUUAUUUUUAAAUGUGGACAUUGCAUGCAUAUCUUUCAAUCAUCUCUCUCACAGUGCUUUGAAUCUUGGGUGAUCAACAAAAUUUCAUGUUCUUUUGAACUUAUUCACAUUUAUCUUGUUGUUCUUGUCCAAACAUUUUCCCUUGGUGGCAAGGAAUACAUCCUAUCCAUUGUAGAUGACUUCUUUGGGUUUAUUUUGGUCUCACUCUUGCUUGAAAAAUCAGAAACCUUUCAAAGGUUUAAAUCUGUCUACCAUCUUUUACAAAAAGUUAAGAUGACUAGUCAUCUGCCUCUUGUUAGAAUUAGAACAGAAUCUCAGCUCAUCUGUCCCUGUUGAAAACUUUCUAUAGAAGCAAGAUAGGAAGCCUUCUAUACUUGACUGCAAGUAGACCUGACAUUUCCUAUAGUGUAGGAGUUUUGUGCUAGGUUCCAAAGUGAUCCCAAAGAGUCUCAUUUGUUUGCUGUCAAAAGAAUCAUAAAAUAUGUGAGUAGAACUUUUGAGUUUGGGUUAUAGUAUACUUAUGACACUUGUGUCAAUCUUGUUGAGUAUAGUGAUGCCGAUUGGGCAGGUUGUAGUAAUGGUAGGAAAAGCACUUCCGGGAGGGUCUUUUAUGUAGGCAACAGCCUUGUUGCUUGGCAUAGCAAAAAAUAGAAAUCUAUCUCUUUAUUCAUUGCUGAAGCAGAGUAUGUUAUAGCUGGGAGUUGCUGCACUCAACUCUUUUGGAUGAGACAAAUGUUGGAAGACUAUGGUCUUGCUCAAUCAUGCUUUCUAAUCUAUUGUGACAACAUGAGUGGUAUAGAUAUUUCUAAAAAUCCUGUUCAACACUCUAGGACUAAGCAUAUAGACAUUAGGCACCAUUUUAUUAGAGAUCUUGUGGAAGACAAAAUUCUAUUUUUGGAAUUUGUUCCCUCUGUGAAACAGCUAGCAGAUAUACUCACCAAGGCCUUGGACUUUCAGAAACAUGUCACACUUAGGUAGUCCAUUGGCCUUUGCUCAAUUGAUUGAUUAACUUGUCUGUUCCUUAUCUUCAGCACAUUACAGAACUGUUGACUAGUCAUCUUCGUUUUAGUUGACUAGUCAAAUAUAAAUUUUUGUUUACUUGGUGUGCAAAUGUCAAAAACAUCUGUUUCUUCUGAUCUCUGAUGGUGUGAAGUUUGAUUCAUUUUAUGCUUUGCCUGAUUUGUGCAUAAUUCCCCCUUCUUGUUUGGAGCCAUUAGAUGAAAAUUUUUGGUGUUUUUAUGUCCUCUUGGUGAGACAAGUAUUGUGAUCCAUUGUGGACAAUCAUUGUUAUAAUCUCCUAUCUUAUCUCACUCUCUUAGGCAAUUUGUUUAUUAAAAACAAAAAACAAAAAAAAAAAUACAAAAAACGGGGAAGUGUGACCAAUGUAGUCACGACUCUAGGAAGGUAUAAGGUGAUAUGAUUGAAGAAUCUAGAGCAAGAGCCGCAAAAUUGGGCCACUCAAGCACUUAAGUCUGGGAUGUGCAAAUAACAAACAUAAUAAAUGGCCAGAUUGAGUGAUGAAAAUCAAAUAGGUUGAGUCUAUGCUUUGAGUAUGUCUUGAAGGCUUAUUAUAUACUUGUCUCUCCAAGAGUGAUAUUUCUUCAUCUCUUGUGUUUUUCUUUUGGCUCUGAACCUCCUCUGUCCAUCUUGCCUUAUCUCUGAGCAUGAAAUCUAAUUCAUAUUCUAUCUAUCAGAGUUAGUUGCAAUUGUUUUGUUUGCACAUGUGGUUAUCUUCUCUCUCGCUUACUCACUGUGCUUGAAGACUUGGACUUGGCUAUAGUAGCUAAUACAUCGUUGAUCACUUGAUAUAUUUGCUAGUUCAUGUUUGUGUUUUUAAAAUCAAAAUCAUGUCUUCUUCAGGGUCGAUACUAAAAUUGAUGCUUGUUAUGAUAUUGCUUGAGUUCACUAGUCAACAUAUGCUCAUGCUAAUUGUGGUUGACUAGUCAUCUGCUUAACAGGGAUCUUGUGACUUUUGGUGAAAUUAAUUUUCACUCUCUAAGAACCAAGACCAUUGGUUAUGACACAAAACACAAAGGUUCACUUGUCUUCUCCUUGUCUCAUUUAUACCUUCUGUUUCAACACUGGUACUGUGUUUAUGUGUGGUCGUGUUUGGAUGAUGCCACUUUGGUCUAUGACCCUAUCUUAAUAAGUUGUGUGUCCCACAUUCAUUGAUUUAGCCUAAUAUAAUCUUGAAAUCCUUAUGAGUCUGUUGUGCUAUAUGAGUUUUGGAUUGUUGGCUAAUUUAUUUUGUUGGGGGAGUUUCUUUGAGAUGCAUGUAUUUUGCCAACAUUCUUGCUGGUUGUUUUUAUCAUUUUCAUACAUCAAUGUUGCCUUCCUAAGCCUUAUCUCGAUUGAUUUGCUCUCUUUUGUUCUUGCUGUGUCUAUGAGGUUGUUGGUCUUUUGAUGCCACCUCAAAUUUAGACAUGCGUGACUAGUCCAUUUCAUAGUCCACUCUCUUCUCCUUGUGCUUUUUGGAAGCUAUGUUGUGUUUUUUUUUUUUUUGGACAACCUAGAGACUUAUUUCUUGUAUUCUUUCUCACAUGUCCUCAAUUUUGAGCAAAAAAUUAAGGUUCAUCUUGCAUGGUGCUUUCUUCAAAUUUGACAUUGAUUAAUGCCUUAAAUUUUGAAAUCUUGGUGCUUUGUCUUGAUUUUGCACUAUGGUGUGUAAAGAAAAAUUCAUUGGUUGUCCCUUGUUUUGAUAAAUAUGUUGCUUAAAGUCUGUCUUUUUAGGGGAGUUUCUUUAUGUGUAAUGUGUACACAUUGAAAUUAAAUUCAACCACUUGAUUUUAAUUGCCUUAGGUAUGAUUCCUUGCAACUUGUGCUCCACUUCUUAUUCUCUUUAGCUUGAUGCACUUUUGUGUUUGUUGGCUAUUUAUGGAAAUUUUGCUGGAUUAGUACAUCAAAGGUUAAUUCCUUUAUGUUAUAUGAUACUCAGGGGGAGUAUUUUUGGACAGGUUGGGGAUCUUUUUGCUUGGGUAGUCUGUGCAACUUGAUAGGGGGAGUUUUCUUGUAUUGUUUUGAGCAAAUGCUGUUUUGCUUUGUAAUCAAACCGUGUCAUGUGCAUAUUGUUCAAAUAUGAUUAUGUGACUUGUGUUUAAUUCACUUGAUUACUGUUUCUCUAUAUUUGCCUUUUUGCUCUUUCCUUAUCAACAAGGGGGAGAACACUCUCAACCCUAUAUUGCAUACAUUGCAUAUUGCUUCAACUUUAUAUGAUAUAAUAUGCUUGUCUUGUGCUUGGGAGUUUGGUUGUUGUUUUGCAGGUACUUCAUUUCAUCAUCUCCUUAGGUUUGGUUUUGGGUUGAGUGUUGUUAGAGAGUGUGUUGUCAAGGAAAGCCAAAAAGGGGGAGAUUGUUAAUGUAUGCAUUUUGGGUUUUUCUUUUGGCUUCCCUUGAAAACUUUGUAAUAGGAUUUCUAUUGUUAUUUAUCAAGCUCAAGCUUAGAUUAAGAAUAGCUUCUCUAGGUGUUCUUAACUAACAACUAUCCUAUGGAGAUUCAAGCAAGUUGACAAAGGUAAGUAUGCAUUGCAUAUCAUGGCAUUAAAACUGUUUUUAUAAAAUGAUGACUAGUCAUCUGUUUCUCGUAUGACUAGUCAUCCUUACUCUGUAGGAUUUCCAGCUGGAUAACAAACCUUUUUGUCCUAUUCUCCUUUCUCUCUCUGCUGCCAUGUGGGUAUUCUGACCUAAGGGAAUUUUUGUCUUUAAAGGCUAUCAAUUUCCUCUUUUGGAGUCGUCGCUUUUGGGUGGAAGAUUUGGAAAGAUUGCUUGCAAGCUUUCUCUUCUUUUUGCUCAAAAGAGAACCAUAUAUGAUAUUCAUGAGUUUUUCCGAAAUGAAUUCUACCUCUUGAAAAACUGCAUGUGUCUUUGAAUCCCAUCUAGCUGCAUAAAUCACUCUCAUUUAUAUCUAGGUUUGAUUCAAGACUAAUUUCUUCAAGAGAAUGGUUUCUUGAAGAAAUUGGUCAUUUUCUCCAUGAAUCCAAAUUUCAUUUCUGUAUGAGUUAGAGCUUGCAAGCUAGUGCCAUGGGAUGAAAGAGUUGGAGAAGGAGCUGCCAUUUCCAUGAAGAACUGGGCUUCAAGCUUUGCUAAGUUGGAGAAGAAGAUUGCACAAAGGAGGUAUUGCUCAUCUUCCUAAAUAGAUCUAGGUUUUGCUUGAGCUUGCUUGUGUUCCUUUGUAAGAAUCUUUUUCUACUUAGUGGAUUGCCUGGUCGGUUGAUGACCCCCAG